GCAAGUCGAACGAGAAAGCCUUCGGGUGAGUAGAGUGGCGCACGGGAGAGUAAUGGAUAGGAACGUACCAAUAAGUGGGGAAUAACCAUUGGAAACGAUGGCUAAUACCGCAUGUGGUCUUCGGACUAAAGCAGGCUUCGGCUCGCGCUUAUUGAUCGGCCUAUCUCCCAUUAGCUUGAUGGUGGGGUAAUAGCCUACCAUGGCGACGAUGGGUAGCUGGUCUGAGAGGAUGAUC
This 235-nucleotide ribosomal RNA is filed under the name uncultured bacterium. Its description in RNAcentral is "partial 16S ribosomal RNA". It matches the Rfam family "Bacterial small subunit ribosomal RNA", at positions 57 to 305 of the family's 1533-position model. The record is from RNAcentral.